RNAcentral lists this ribosomal RNA (502 nucleotides) under uncultured Glomeromycotina. RNAcentral describes it as "partial small subunit ribosomal RNA". It matches the Rfam family "Eukaryotic small subunit ribosomal RNA", at positions 591 to 1092 of the family's 1831-position model. Lineage: Eukaryota; Fungi; Glomeromycota. The record is from RNAcentral.
CCAAUAGCGUAUAUUAAAGUUGUUGCAGUUAAAAAGCUCGUAGUUGAAUUUCGGAAUCUGUCCAUCGGUCGGGCUUUACUGUCCGUACUGGUGUGGUGGGUUCUUACCUUCUGAAUAACCAGCAUGCCAUUCACUUGGUGCGUUGGGGAAGCAGGACUAUUACCUUGAAAAAAUUAGAGUGCUCAAAGCAGGCCAGUGCCCGAAUACAUUAGCAUGGAAUAAUAAAAUAGGACGGCAUGGUUCUAUUUUGUUGGUUUCUAGGAUCACCGUAAUGAUUAAUAGGGAUAGUUGGGGGCAUUAGUAUUCAAUUGUCAGAGGUGAAAUUCUUGGAUUUAUUGAAGACUAACUUCUGCGAAAGCAUUUGCCAAGGAUGUUUUCAUUAAUCAAGAACGAAAGUUAGGGGAUCGAAGACGAUCAGAUACCGUCGUAGUCUUAACCAUAAACUAUGCCGACUAGGGAUCGGACGAUGUUAAUUUUUUAAUGACUCGUUCGGCGCCUUACG